Caenorhabditis brenneri is the source of this 73-nucleotide non-coding RNA. The record is from Rfam. Lineage: Eukaryota; Metazoa; Nematoda; Chromadorea; Rhabditida; Rhabditidae.
AAAGUAGAGGUAGGUGCGAGAAAUGACGGGCAUCGUGCAAAUCGUUCAUUGUCUCCCAGCUACUUCAACUGUG